CCUACGGGUGGCUGCAGUAGGGAAUCUUCGGCAAUGGACGAAAGUCUGACCGAGCAACGCCGCGUGAGUGAAGAAGGUUUUCGGAUCGUAAAACUCUGUUGGUAGAGAAGAACGUUGGUGAGAGUGGAAAGCUCAUCAAGUGACGGUAACUACCCAGAAAGGGACGGCUAACUACGUGCCAGCAGCCGCGGUAAUACGUAGGUCCCGAGCGUUGUCCGGAUUUAUUGGGCGUAAAGCGAGCGCAGGUGGUUUAUUAAGUCUGGUGUAAAAGGCAGUGGCUCAACCAUUGUAUGCAUUGGAAACUGGUAGACUUGAGUGCAGGAGAGGAGAGUGGAAUUCCAUGUGUAGCGGUGAAAUGCGUAGAUAUAUGGAGGAACACCGGUGGCGAAAGCGGCUCUCUGGCCUGUAACUGACACUGAGGCUCGAAAGCGUGGGGAGCA
Molecule: ribosomal RNA, 440 nt
Filed under: uncultured bacterium
Lineage: Bacteria
Description: bacterial SSU rRNA
Rfam family: Bacterial small subunit ribosomal RNA
Source: RNAcentral